RNAcentral lists this ribosomal RNA (253 nucleotides) under uncultured bacterium. Its description in RNAcentral is "partial 16S ribosomal RNA". It matches the Rfam family "Bacterial small subunit ribosomal RNA", at positions 524 to 776 of the family's 1533-position model. The record is from RNAcentral.
UACGUAGGUGGCGAGCGUUGUCCGGAUUUACUGGGCGUAAAGAGCGCGCAGGCGGUCGUUCAAGUCGGAUGUGAAAGCCCCCGGCUCAACUGGGGAGGGUCAUUCGAUACUGAUCGACUCGAAGGCAGGAGAGGGAAGCGGAAUUCCCGGUGUAGUGGUGAAAUGCGUAGAUAUCGGGAGGAACACCAGUGGCGAAGGCGACUACCUGGCCUGUUCUUGACGCUGAGGCGCGAAAGCUAGGGGAGCAAACGGG